This 421-nucleotide ribosomal RNA is filed under the name uncultured bacterium. RNAcentral describes it as "partial 16S ribosomal RNA". It matches the Rfam family "Bacterial small subunit ribosomal RNA", at positions 360 to 773 of the family's 1533-position model. The record is from RNAcentral.
AAUAUUGGACAAUGGGGGCAACCCUGAUCCAGCCAUGCCGCUUGUGUGAAGAAGGUCUUCGGAUUNUCAAGCACUUUAAGUUGGGANGAAGGGCUUUAGGUUAAUACCCUGAAGUUUUGACGUUACCAACUGACUAAGCACCGGCUAACUCUGUGCCAGCAGCCGCGGUAAUACAGAGGGUGCAAGCGUUAAACGGAAAUAUAUGGCGUAAAGCGCGCGUAGGUGGUUCAGUAAGAUGGGUGUGAAAUCCCCGGGCUUAAACUGGGAACUGCUUUCAUAACUGCUGAGCUAGAGUACGGUAGAGGGUAGUGGAAUUUCCUGUGUAGCGGUGAAAUGCGUAGAUAUAGGAAGGAACACCAGUGGCGAAGGCGACUACCUGGACUGAUACUGACACUGAGGUGCGAAAGCGUGGGGAGCAAAC